Molecule: transfer RNA, 72 nt
Filed under: Erythranthe guttata (spotted monkey flower)
Lineage: Eukaryota; Viridiplantae; Streptophyta; Magnoliopsida; Lamiales; Phrymaceae
Description: Mimulus guttatus (spotted monkey flower) tRNA
Rfam family: tRNA
About the family: Transfer RNA (tRNA) molecules are approximately 80 nucleotides in length.
Source: Rfam by way of RNAcentral
GGGUCCAUAGCUCAGUGGUAGAGCAUUUGACUGCAGAUUAAGAGGCCAUCGGUUCGAACCCGGUUGGGCCCU